CCUACGGGUGGCAGCAGUGAGGAAUAUUGGUCAAUGGACGAAAGCCUGAACCAGCCAAGUCGCGUGAAGGAUGAAGGUUCUAUGGGUCGUAAACCUCUUUUAUACGGGAAUAAAGUGUGGGACGUGUCCUAUUUUGUAUGUACCUUAUGAAUAAGGAUCGGCUAACUCCGUGCCAGCAGCCGCGGUAAUACGGAGGAUCCGAGCGUUAUCCGGAUUUAUUGGGUUUAAAGGGUGCGUAGGCGGCCGCUUAAGUCAGCGGUGAAAGUCUGUGGCUCAACCAUAGAAUUGCAGUUGAAACUGGGUGGCUUGAGUAUGUUUGAGGUAGGCGGAAUGCGUGGUGUAGCGGUGAAAUGCUUAGAUAUCACGCAGAACCCCGAUUGCGAAGGCAGCCUGCCAAGCCAUGACUGACGCUGAUGCACGAAAGCGUGGGGAUCAAACAGGAUUAGAUACCCUAGUAGUC
This 460-nucleotide ribosomal RNA is filed under the name uncultured bacterium. Its description in RNAcentral is "partial 16S ribosomal RNA". It matches the Rfam family "Bacterial small subunit ribosomal RNA", at positions 338 to 795 of the family's 1533-position model. The record is from RNAcentral.